RNAcentral lists this ribosomal RNA (492 nucleotides) under uncultured bacterium. Its description in RNAcentral is "partial 16S ribosomal RNA". It matches the Rfam family "Bacterial small subunit ribosomal RNA", at positions 29 to 507 of the family's 1533-position model. The record is from RNAcentral.
AGUGAACGCUGGCGGUAGGCCUAACACAUGCAAGUCGAACGGCAGCACAGUAAGAGCUUGCUCUUACGGGUGGCGAGUGGCGGACGGGUGAGGAAUACAUCGGAAUCUACUUUUUCGUGGGGGAUAACGUAGGGAAACUUACGCUAAUACCGCAUACGACCUACGGGUGAAAGCAGGGGAUCUUCGGACCUUGCGCGAUUGAAUGAGCCGAUGUCGGAUUAGCUAGUUGGCGGGGUAAAGGCCCACCAAGGCGACGAUCCGUAGCUGGUCUGAGAGGAUGAUCGGCCACACUGGAACUGAGACACGGUCCAGACUCCUACGGGAGGCAGCAGUGGGGAAUAUUGGACAAUGGGCGCAAGCCUGAUCCAGCCAUACCGCGUGAGUGAAGAAGGCCUUCGGGUUGUAAAGCCCUUUUGUUGGGAAAGAAAAGCAGCAGGUUAAUCCCCCGCUGUUCUGACGGUACCCAAAGAAUAAGCACCGGCUAACUUCGUG